GAGAGUUGUUGGGUUAAAUAAAGGAGUAAGAAGGUGGUGUUUGAGAUGAAGCCUGAAGAUAUGAGGCAGUGAACCCUGGAUGUUUCUGAAGGAGGGGGUUCCAGAGGGAGCGAACAGCAGAGGCGAUAAGGUGGAGAUGCUGAGGCAGCAUGGUGCUGGGGACUACGGGGAGAAGUCAGGAUGUGAACAUCUGUCCAUGAAUUUGAAGAGCUCUCCAGCUAGUUGGGAAGGCAGGACAUCCUGGGGAGACAAGCUGACAUGUCAUGAGGACACUCAAGCAGCCCAGUGACGAGAUCCAUGUGUCAAGGAACUGAGGUCUCCUUCCAACAGCCAUGUGAGCGACCUGUCUUGGAAUCGGCCCCUCCAGCCUGUCAAGCCUUCAGCUGACUGCAGGCCCAGCUGACAGCUUGACUGUAACCUCAUGAAAGACCCUGAGCCAGAACCACCCAGCUAAGACACGGUCAGAUUUCUGACCCACAGAAACUGUGUGAGCUAAUAAACAUAUGCUA
Hipposideros armiger (great roundleaf bat) is the source of this 509-nucleotide long non-coding RNA. RefSeq lists it as uncharacterized. The record is from RefSeq and is a predicted model, not a curated record. The transcript is spliced from 3 exons. Lineage: Eukaryota; Metazoa; Chordata; Mammalia; Chiroptera; Hipposideridae.